This 259-nucleotide ribosomal RNA is filed under the name uncultured bacterium. RNAcentral's name for it is "partial small subunit ribosomal RNA". It matches the Rfam family "Bacterial small subunit ribosomal RNA", at positions 26 to 288 of the family's 1533-position model. The record is from RNAcentral.
AGGACGAACGCUGGCGGCGUGCUUAACACAUGCAAGUCGAGCGGAAAGGCCCUUCGGGGUACUCGAGCGGCGAACGGGUGAGUAACACGUGAGCAACCUGCCCCUGGCUCUGGGAUAGCCUCCGGAAACGGGGAUUAAUACCGGACAUGACCCUUGACCGCAUGGUUGGGGGGUGGAAAGUUUUUUCGGCCAGGGUGGGGCUCGCGGCCUAUCAGCUUGUUGGGGGGGUGACGGCCCACCAAGGCGACGACGGGUAGCC